Molecule: ribosomal RNA, 431 nt
Filed under: uncultured bacterium
Lineage: Bacteria
Description: partial 16S ribosomal RNA
Rfam family: Bacterial small subunit ribosomal RNA
Source: RNAcentral
AACGAACGCUGGCGGCAGGCCUAACACAUGCAAGUCGAGCGCCCUUUCGCGGGAGCGGCGGCCGGGUGGGUAGCGCGUGGGGAUAUGCCCUUCUCUACAAAAUACCCUCGGCAUACUGAUAGUAAUACCGUAUACGCCCUUAGGGGGGACGAGUUAUCGGGGAAGGUUUAGGGCGCGUGAGAUUAGGUGGUUGGUGGGGUAAUGGCCUACCAAGCCGACGAGCCAGAGCUGUUUUGAGAGGCUGAGCAGACACACCGGGACUGCGACACGGACCAGACUCGUACGGAAGGGAGCGGAGGGGAAUCUUAGACAAUGGGGGCAACCCUGAGCGAGCCGUGCCGGGGGAGUGAUGAAGGACUUAGGGAUGCAAAGCUCUUUGAGCUGGAAAGAUAAUGACGGUACCAGCAGAAGAAGCACCGGCUAACUCCGUG